Molecule: ribosomal RNA, 403 nt
Filed under: uncultured bacterium
Lineage: Bacteria
Description: bacterial SSU rRNA
Rfam family: Bacterial small subunit ribosomal RNA
Source: RNAcentral
UGGGGAAUAUUGGACAAUGGGGGCAACCCUGAUCCAGCAAUGCCGCGUGAGUGAUGAAGGCCUUCGGGUUGUAAAGCUCUUUUGCCAGGGACGAUGAUGACGGUACCUGGAGAAUAAGCCCCGGCUAACUUCGUGCCAGCAGCCGCGGUAAUACGAAGGGGGCAAGCGUUGUUCGGAAUUACUGGGCGUAAAGGGCGCGUAGGCGGCUUAUCAAGUCAGGCGUGAAAUUCCCGGGCUCAACCUGGGGGCUGCGCUUGAUACUGAUGAGCUUGAAUGCGGGAGAGGAUAGUGGAAUUCCCAGUGUAGAGGUGAAAUUCGUAGAUAUUGGGAAGAACACCAGUGGCGAAGGCGGCUAUCUGGCCCGUAAUUGACGCUGAGGCGCGAAAGCGUGGGGAGCAAACAG